UAGACCACUCGGUCAGUCCUCUCCCAGUUCACUCUCUCAUCAUCCCUCUUCUCUCUCUCUCUCUCUGUCUCUCUUUCUCUCACUCCAUCGCAGGCUACCCUCCUGCCAGCCACCGUCCACCACUGUCGCACACGAGCACCCACCUCCUCACCGGCGACGGUACAACCCACCUCCCCACCAGCGACGGUACCACCCAUCUCCCCACCAGCGACGGACAACAGUAGCUACUCUGAUUUGUGUCUCCUCCAGCGCACACCAGAGGGUUGGAGCUUCUCUUCUAUCUAUUUCUCGCAAGAGCAGCGUUUUUUCUCUCUAUUUCUCACUCGCAACAACCAUUGGAGCACACACUCUUGAAGCACAGAACACAUUGAAGAAGCAUUCAAGGAGUUCACAACAAGAGAAGACGUUGCAAUAGUGAUGAUCAGCCAAUAUGAGGAUAUUAAACUUAUGAAGGUCAUGGGAAUGGAUGCCUACAGAUUCUCAAUUGCAUUGUUUGUACUCAUGGUAAACAUGUCCUCAUUUUCUUCAUUUUUCUCAAUACUUGAGUGUUUAUAUCAAAUUAAUUAUAUGAAUUUGUGACUCUACUCUUGGUUGUCAAACAUUAUUUGGAAAUUACUAAAAAAAUUUGUGGAUAAAUUACUUUGGCCGUCAAGGUUUGAGUCUACUUGCAUUUCUAGUGCUUACAGUUGAUGAAAUGACACUUUCUAGCUUAUAAAACUUUGUUUGGACUUUGGUUCAAUGCUUUUAUCAAUGGUGCAGCAUUGCACAUACAAGAAAAAUAUGCAUGUGAUCCUCACGUCAUGUACAUUUACUUAAUUGAUCAUUUCAACUGUUAUAGAUGUAGUGAUCAAACCAGUCUCAAGUUAGAUUCUAGAUGUAGAAUUAAGUAAAUUUAUGGGAGUGUGAUAGUCUUAGGUCAAUGAUGAGGUUGGUGAAGAGAUGGGUAGUUAGCGUGCCUUAAACUUAAAAAAAAAAAACACAUAGGACCUAUGGCAAAACACCUUAAUUGGCAUGCCUUAAACUUACCCCAAAAAGGGCGAUAAGGGGGCGAAUAUGGGAAACUGCCCCGAAUCACCGUACGGAUGUCACGACCACCUUCCCCGUGACAAAUAGAACCUGUCACAACAAACGGAAUGUCAUUAGCACACGCAGUUUGGGAGUUAGAGCCGAAAACUCAUUAAACUUAACCGAAAAAGGGCGAUAAGGGGGCAAAAAUACGAAACAACCCCCGAACCACCGUAC
This is a long non-coding RNA of Camellia sinensis, 1242 nucleotides long. RefSeq lists it as uncharacterized. The record is from RefSeq and is a predicted model, not a curated record. Lineage: Eukaryota; Viridiplantae; Streptophyta; Magnoliopsida; Ericales; Theaceae.